CCCUUAGAUGUUCUGGGCCGCACGCGCGCUACACUGAUGCAUUCAACGAGUCUAAAACCUGCUCUGAUAGGGGUGGGUAAUCUUUUGAAUGUGCAUCGUGAUUGGGAUAGAUGAUUGCAAUUUUUCAUCUUUAACGAGGAAUGCCUAGUAAACGCAAGUCAUCAGCUUGCAUUGAUUACGUCCCUGCCCUUUGUACACACCGCCCGUCGCUCCUACCGAUUGAAUGAUCCGAUGAAUAUCAUGGAUUGAGGAUGCAAGUAGGUUCGCCUAUCUUCAUCUUCGAGAAGUGAAGUAAAUCUUAUCAUUUAGAGGAAGGAGAAGUCGUAACA
This 329-nucleotide ribosomal RNA is filed under the name uncultured eukaryote. Its description in RNAcentral is "partial 18S ribosomal RNA". It matches the Rfam family "Eukaryotic small subunit ribosomal RNA", at positions 1470 to 1796 of the family's 1831-position model. The record is from RNAcentral.